This 263-nucleotide ribosomal RNA is filed under the name Chryseobacterium cucumeris. Its description in RNAcentral is "partial 16S ribosomal RNA". It matches the Rfam family "Bacterial small subunit ribosomal RNA", at positions 518 to 780 of the family's 1533-position model. Lineage: Bacteria; Pseudomonadati; Bacteroidota; Flavobacteriia; Flavobacteriales; Weeksellaceae. The record is from RNAcentral.
CGGUAAUACGGAGGGUGCAAGCGUUAUCCGGAUUUAUUGGGUUUAAAGGGUCCGUAGGCGGAUCUGUAAGUCAGUGGUGAAAUCUCACAGCUUAACUGUGAAACUGCCAUUGAUACUGCAGGUCUUGAGUGUUGUUGAAGUAGCUGGAAUAAGUAGUGUAGCGGUGAAAUGCAUAGAUAUUACUUAGAACACCAAUUGCGAAGGCAGGUUACUAAGCAACAACUGACGCUGAUGGACGAAAGCGUGGGGAGCGAACAGGAUUA